GAUGAACGCUCGCGGGAGGCCUAACACAUGCAAGCCGAGCGGUAGAGUUUCUUCGGAAACUUGAGAGCGGCGCACGGGUGCGUAACACGUGUGCAACCUACCUUUAUCUGGGGGAUAGCCUUUCGAAAGGAGGAUUAAUACCCCAUAAUAUAAUGAUUGGCAUCAAUUAUUAUUGAAAACUCCGGUGGAUAGAGAUGGGCACGCGCAAGAUUAGAUAGUUGGUGAGGUAACGGCUCACCAAGUCAAUGAUCUUUAGGGGUCCUGAGAGGGAGAUCCCCCACACUGGUACUGAGACACGGACCAGACUCCUACGGGAGGCAGCAGUGAGGAAUAUUGGACAAUGGGUGAGAGCCUGAUCCAGCCAUCCCGCGUGAAGGAUGACGGUCCUAUGGAUUGUAAACUUCUUUUGUACAGGGAUAAACCUACCCUCGUGAGGGUAGCUGAAGGUACUGUACGAAUAAGCACCGGCUAACUCCGUG
RNAcentral lists this ribosomal RNA (479 nucleotides) under uncultured bacterium. Its description in RNAcentral is "partial 16S ribosomal RNA". It matches the Rfam family "Bacterial small subunit ribosomal RNA", at positions 28 to 507 of the family's 1533-position model. The record is from RNAcentral.